This 292-nucleotide ribosomal RNA is filed under the name uncultured bacterium. RNAcentral describes it as "partial 16S ribosomal RNA". It matches the Rfam family "Bacterial small subunit ribosomal RNA", at positions 505 to 796 of the family's 1533-position model. The record is from RNAcentral.
GUGUCAGCAGCCGCGGUAAGACGUACCACCCGAACGUUAUUCGGAUUCACUGGGCUUACAGAGUCCGUAGGCGGUCGAGAAAGUUGGAUGUGAAAUACCUCAGCUCAACUGAGGAAUUGCGUUCAAAACUACUUGGCUAGAGAGAUACAGAGGUGAGCGGAACUGAUGGUGGAGCGGUGAAAUGCGUUGAUAUCAUCAGGAACACCGGUGGCGAAAGCGGCUCACUGGGUAUCUUCUGACGCUGAGGGACGAAAGCUAGGGGAGCGAACGGGAUUAGAAACCCUUGUAGUCC